This 1159-nucleotide long non-coding RNA is filed under the name Capra hircus (goat). RNAcentral describes it as "lncRNA (ENSCHIG00010003223.1)". Lineage: Eukaryota; Metazoa; Chordata; Mammalia; Artiodactyla; Bovidae. The record is from RNAcentral.
GUGUGUGUGUGUGUCUGUGUCUGUGUUGUAUAGCUAUAAUAAAAAUAAUGGUAAAUACUAAGAGUUUUUACUUGUCUUCAGUGCUGUUCUAAGGCUUUUCAGGUUUUUUAGUCUACAUGUUAAUUAGUUAUUUAUCCUCAUGGGAAUCCUAUUAGGUAAGAAAUAUUAUUAUCCACAUAUAAGUAGGUUUGCUAGGUUUAGUAAAUAAAAAUUAGGAUGCCCAGUUAAAUUUAAAUUUCUGAUAAACAAUAAUUAUUGCCACAUACAUAUGCCAAAAAGAGACGAACUACUUACCUGAAAUUUGAAUUUAAAUGGGUGUCCUAUAUUUUAUCUGGCAACCCUACAUUUAAUAGAUGGGGAAGCUGAAACUCAGAGAUGAUGGGGAGGGAGCAUGCAAACUUCACUGGAAGAAGAGAAAGAAAAAAACUACAGAACUGUCAUUCCUGCACAUUCUCUGUGCUUCUUUGUAGAAGACAGGGGACUGGAACCAUGGGUUUUGGAGAUCCCAUCCUCACUAUGUGGUCACAGUCCUCACCAUUGUUCUUUCUUUGGGAAGCCAAUUGGAGUCGUUCAUCUAUUAAUUCGAAUAUCAGUAGAAUGCUUAGUCAUGCCCCAACAUUGGCACUGCACCAUGAACCUCAAGAUAGAUGCAGCUCCUGCCCUGAUUCAGUGGACAGGUUAAUGGAGAAGACACAGGUUAAAUGAGUGAACAGUGCAGAGUGAGGGCAGUUGUUUAUGGAGGGAACUGGGUGCAGCAGGGGCAUGCCGGCCUUCUCGCCUGGCUGGUGGCUAGGGUAGUGAUUCUCCAGGCAGCAUCCCCAAACCAGCAACAGUGGCACCACCUGUAAGCUUGCUGGAAAUGCAGUUAUCUAAGCCCCCUUCAUGACCUCCUGAUCAAAAACUCUGGGGUAGGUCUAAUAAUUCGUGUUUUAAUAAGGCUUCCAGGUGAUUUAAAUUCAUAGAUGUGGAGACUGGCUGCUAGGGGAGGAGAGAUGCUCAGAGCAUCCUCCACUGUGAGGAUGGGGUGCCAUCCCUUCAAAACCAGGUGAGGAGGGCAAGGCUCCUGGCUCCUUGCUUAUUCCAGGAAAACAAGACUAACUAGACAGACACAGUGAAUUAAAUAUCCUAUUUUGAGUUUUUCUUUCCUUUUCUUUCCUUU